CUGGGUUAUGGAGACAUGUACCCAGAGACAUGGUCCGGAAUGCUGGUGGGUGCGCUCUGUGCCUUGGCUGGUGUGCUUACCAUUGCCAUGCCUGUACCUGUCAUCGUUAACAAC
Non-coding RNA from Oryzias latipes (Japanese medaka), 114 nucleotides. NCBI's taxonomy places the organism in Eukaryota, Metazoa, Chordata, Actinopteri, Beloniformes, Adrianichthyidae. The record is from Rfam.